Molecule: long non-coding RNA, 574 nt
Organism: Dermochelys coriacea (leatherback sea turtle)
Lineage: Eukaryota; Metazoa; Chordata; Testudines; Dermochelyidae
Exons: 4
Source: RefSeq, a predicted model, not a curated record
AGGUGCAUGCAGUGAUCCUGCUCCUGACGCAGCUCUUCUGCCAUGCGGGAAGCCUAAGAGGAGGCACAGUACAUUCUCAUCAAGCACAACAGACUUUUAAUGCCAGCAGCAGAGCAAACAGUAUAAUGACCCAGUGUGGCAUUUGUUUUCACCUGGACAUUGAUUUCGUUGUGCCUCUCAGUGAUCUCUAUCAGCUCCUGUUCCAGGAGUUUGCGAGAGCGCUCGCUGCCCUCCAGGCCAAUGCGCAUUUCUUCCAGCUCUGUCUGUGUCAGGCUGAGGCGGCGUUCCUGGAGGUUGUAUUGUUCCCGGAGCUCCUCGUGCUGGCGAGCAUCUUCAUCCAUCUGAAUCUGAAGAUCCUGAAGGCAAAAGAGGCAUCCAUAUGAUUAAGAAGCAUGCAGAGGAAGCUGUGAGUUCUCUGAGCUUGGACAAAGAAAACAGACUGGUCGCUCUCAGCCUUCCGUCGGGCCUUCUCCACCUCGGCACGGAUCUUCUUUUCCUGUUCCCAGUUGUCCUCCAGCUAACCAGAGAUAAAAGGGGAGAGGAGAAUCAAUGGCCACAAGAAUUUGAAAAAGCU